CUGACCUCAAAUCAGGUGGGACUACCCGCUGAACUUAAGCAUAUC
This 45-nucleotide ribosomal RNA is filed under the name polypore sp. E7090. Its description in RNAcentral is "partial 26S ribosomal RNA". Lineage: Eukaryota; Fungi; Basidiomycota; Agaricomycetes; Polyporales; Polyporaceae. The record is from RNAcentral.